GAUGCCAUGGGCAGCCUCACAGCCACAGUGCUGGAGCGUGGCUUUGGCACAGUACAGGUGAUAAAGGCAACUGUGGUGACUGAAGGGAGAUCAGCGCGGAUGCGGCUGCCAUUGAGGAUGGCUCUUGAGGAGCGAUGGUGAUGCCCAGCAUUUGAACAAUGCUGAGCAGUGUUCUGAGUGGGCCCAAGGGAGCUGGAGGAAGAAAGGGGCAUGCCCCAAGAAGGUGAGCUAGAGAUUUGGUGUUGGAAGGAGAGUGUUGCGGUCAGUGGGUU
Molecule: long non-coding RNA, 272 nt
Organism: Dromaius novaehollandiae (emu)
Lineage: Eukaryota; Metazoa; Chordata; Aves; Casuariiformes; Dromaiidae
Exons: 3
Source: RefSeq, a predicted model, not a curated record